AUUUGAGUAGUUUAAAUAAAUAAAAUGUUGGUUUGUGAUACCAUAGAUGUAAGGAGAUAUACCUCGGAUC
RNAcentral lists this transfer RNA (70 nucleotides) under Typhoptera quadrituberculata. Its description in RNAcentral is "tRNA-His". The record is from RNAcentral. Lineage: Eukaryota; Metazoa; Arthropoda; Insecta; Orthoptera; Tettigoniidae.